GGUAAAUGGUUAACACGCUUGGCUGCUAACCAAAAGGUUGGUGGUUCAAGUCCACC
RNAcentral lists this transfer RNA (56 nucleotides) under Loxodonta africana (African savanna elephant). It matches the Rfam family "tRNA", at positions 10 to 63 of the family's 71-position model. Rfam says of the family: Transfer RNA (tRNA) molecules are approximately 80 nucleotides in length. Their secondary structure includes four short double-helical elements and three loops (D, anti-codon, and T loops). Further hydrogen bonds mediate the characteristic L-shaped molecular structure. tRNAs have two regions of fundamental functional importance: the anti-codon, which is responsible for specific mRNA codon recognition, and the 3' end, to which the tRNAs corresponding amino acid is attached (by aminoacyl-tRNA synthetases). tRNAs cope with the degeneracy of the genetic code in two manners: having more than one tRNA (with a specific anti-codon) for a particular amino acid; and 'wobble' base-pairing, i.e. permitting non-standard base-pairing at the 3rd anti-codon position. Lineage: Eukaryota; Metazoa; Chordata; Mammalia; Proboscidea; Elephantidae. The record is from Rfam by way of RNAcentral.